UACGGAGGGUGCAAGCGUUAUCCGGAUUCACUGGGUUUAAAGGGUGCGUAGGUGGGUAAGUAAGUCCGUGGUGAAAUCUCUGAGCUUAACUCAGAAACUGCCGUGGAUACUAUUUAUCUUGAAUAUUGUGGAGGUGAGCGGAAUAUGUCAUGUAGCGGUGAAAUGCUUAGAUAUGACAUAGAACACCAAUUGCGAAGGCAGCUUACUACCCGAAUAUUGACACUGAGGCACGAAAGCGUGGGGAUCAAACAGG
RNAcentral lists this ribosomal RNA (253 nucleotides) under uncultured bacterium. RNAcentral describes it as "partial 16S ribosomal RNA". It matches the Rfam family "Bacterial small subunit ribosomal RNA", at positions 524 to 776 of the family's 1533-position model. The record is from RNAcentral.